Sinocyclocheilus anshuiensis is the source of this 254-nucleotide long non-coding RNA. RefSeq lists it as uncharacterized. The transcript is spliced from 4 exons. NCBI's taxonomy places the organism in Eukaryota, Metazoa, Chordata, Actinopteri, Cypriniformes, Cyprinidae. The record is from RefSeq and is a predicted model, not a curated record.
GGAAAUCACUCCGGGAUACUAUGAUGAUGUCAUCACUGAUGGACUAAAACCAGAUCGUGAGACAGAAGACAGAACUAUGAGCUAUGAUGAUGUCAUGAUGAGUGGACAGAACUCUGAUAUUAAAAAAGUGGACAAACCAGAGCACUAUGAUGAUGUCAUCAUUAUUGGACAGAACGUUCCAGGUUUAACAGAGGGAGAUCAGGAGGAGUAUGAUGAUGUGAAGAACAGCAAUGAAGAUGAGAGAAGCCUGUUGG